UGAAUUAUAGGAGCUCUUUAUAUACUCUGGAUAUUAAUACUUUAUCAUAUAUAUGAUUUGCAAGUAUUUUCUUUUUGUAAUUGCCCUAUUACAAUGUUAGUUCACAAUAGUGUUAUUCAAUGCACAGAAGUCUUUGAUUUUGAUAUAGUCCAAUUUAUUAAUUUUUUCUUUUGCUGCCUGUGCUUUGUUCUUUUUCCUCAAGAUUGCUUUGGUUAUUCAAGGUCCUUUUUGGUUCCAUGUGAGUUUUAGGAUGGUAUUUUUCUAUUUCUGUGAAAAAUGUCAUUGGAAUUGUGGUAGGGAUUGCAUUCAAUCUUUGGUAGGGAUUGCAUUUGAUCACUUUAGGUAGUAUGGACACUUUUUAUUUGAGAUGAAGUCUCUCUCUGUCACCCAGGCUGGAGUGCAGUGACGUGAUCUUGGCUCACUACAAUCUCCACUUCACAGAUUUAAGGAAUUCUCCUGCCUCAGCCUUCCAACUAGCUGGGAUUACAGGACCAUGCCACCAUGCUGGCUAAUUUUUUGUGUUUUUAGUAGAGACAGGGUUUCACCAGGCUUGCCAGGCUGGUCUUGAACUCUUGACCUCAUGAUCCACCCACCUUGGUCUCCCAAAGUGCUUCUUCUAAUCCAUGAAAAUGGGAUAUCUUCCUAUUUGCUUGUGUUUUCUUCCAUUUGUUUCAUCAAUGUUUUAUAGCUUUCCAUGUAUAGAUCUUUCACCUCCUGGGUUAAAUUUAUUCUUAACUUACUUUACUGUCUUUGAUGCUAUUGUAAACAGAAUUUUUUUUGUUUUUUCGAGAUGGAGGCUUGCUGUCUCCCAGGCUGGAGUUGCAGUGAGCUGAGAUUGUGCCACUGUGCUCCAGCACGGGCAACAAAGCAAGACUGUUUCAAAAAGAAAAGAAAGAAAUUAAAUGAAUUGUAGAUUAGGAUACAGUCCUUAUAUAAUGCAUUCAGAACAAAAAGAAUCCUUAGAUAUAAUCUAGUAUUUUCCCCUUAUUGUAUAGCUAGUAAAACUAAGUACCAAAGAGGGAAGGGAGCUUGUCUGAGGACACCUUGCUAAUGAUUUUACUCUGUCCAUUAUACAGUAUCCCCACUUCUAUAUGAGUUUUUUGUGCAUAUCUGUUGAAUUUCUCAAUUUUUUUUUAGACGGGGUCUCACUUUGUCCCCCAGGCUUAAGUGCAGUGGUACUAUUUCAGCUCACUGCAGCCUCAACCUCCUGUGUUCAAGCAAUCCUCCUGCCUCAGCCCACCAAGUGGCUGGGACUACAGGCACAUGCCACUAUGCCUGGCUAAUUUUUUUGUCCCUUUUGUAGAGACAGUGUUUCACCAUGUUGCCCAGGCGGGUCUCAAAAUCCUGAGCUCAAACAAUCGGUCCACCUCGACCCUCC
Molecule: long non-coding RNA, 1378 nt
Filed under: Callithrix jacchus (white-tufted-ear marmoset)
Lineage: Eukaryota; Metazoa; Chordata; Mammalia; Primates; Cebidae
Description: lncRNA (ENSCJAG00000074866.1)
Source: RNAcentral